AUUGAACGCUGGCGGCAUGCCUUACACAUGCAAGUCGAACGGCAGCGCGGGAGCAAUCCUGGCGGCGAGUGGCGAACGGGUGAGUAAUACAUCGGAACGUGCCCAAUCGUGGGGGAUAACGCAGCGAAAGCUGUGCUAAUACCGCAUACGAUCUACGGAUGAAAGCAGGGGAUCGCAAGACCUUGCGCGCAUGGAGCGGCCGAUGGCAGAUUAGGUAGUUGGUGAGGUAAAGGCUCACCAAGCCUUCGAUCUGUAGCUGGUCUGAGAGGACGACCAGCCACACUGGGACUGAGACACGGCCCAGACUCCUACGGGAGGCAGCAGUGGGGAAUGUUGGACAAUGGGCGAAAGCCUGAUCCAGCCAUGCCGCGUGCAGGAUGAAGGCCUUCGGGUUGUAAACUGCUUUUGUACGGAACGAAACGGUCUUUUCUAAUAAAGAAGGCUAAUGACGGUACCGUAAGAAUAAGCACCGGCUAACUACGUG
Molecule: ribosomal RNA, 484 nt
Filed under: uncultured bacterium
Lineage: Bacteria
Description: partial 16S ribosomal RNA
Rfam family: Bacterial small subunit ribosomal RNA
Source: RNAcentral